RNAcentral lists this ribosomal RNA (497 nucleotides) under uncultured bacterium. RNAcentral describes it as "partial 16S ribosomal RNA". It matches the Rfam family "Bacterial small subunit ribosomal RNA", at positions 28 to 507 of the family's 1533-position model. The record is from RNAcentral.
GACGAACGCUGGCGGCGUGCCUAAUACAUGCAAGUUGAGCGCUGAAGGUUGGUACUUGUACCAACUGGAUGAGCAGCGAACGGGUGAGUAACGCGUGGGUAAUCUGCCUUUGAGCGGGGGACGACAUUUGGAAACGAAUGCUAAUACCGCAUAAAAACUUUAAACACAAGUUUUAAGUUUGAAAGAUGCAAUUGCAUCACUCAAAGAUGAUCCCGCGUUGUAUUAGCUAGUUGGUGAGGUAAAGGCUCACCAAGGCGAUGAUACAUAGCCGACCUGAGAGGGUGAUCGGCCAAAAUGGGAAUGAGACACGGCCCAAGCUCCUACGGGAGGAAGCAGGAGGGAAUCUUCGGCAAUUGACGAAAGUCUGACCGAGGAACGCCGCGGGAGGGAAGAAGGUUCUCGGAUCGUAAAACUCUGUUGGUAGAGAAGAACGUUGGUGAGAGUGGAAAGCUCAUCAAGUGACGGUAACUACCCAGAAAGGGACGGCUAACUACGUG